RNAcentral lists this ribosomal RNA (778 nucleotides) under Enterococcus malodoratus. RNAcentral describes it as "bacterial SSU rRNA". It matches the Rfam family "Bacterial small subunit ribosomal RNA", at positions 28 to 778 of the family's 1533-position model. Lineage: Bacteria; Bacillati; Bacillota; Bacilli; Lactobacillales; Enterococcaceae. The record is from RNAcentral.
GACGAACGCUGGCGGCGUGCCUAAUACAUGCAAGUCGAACGCUUUUUCUUUCACGGGAGCUUGCUCCACCGAAAGAAAAGGAGUGGCGAACGGGUGAGUAACACGUGGGUAACCUGCCCAUCAGAAGGGGAUAACACUUGGAAACAGGUGCUAAUACCGUAUAACAGUAGAAACCGCAUGGUUUCUAUUUGAAAGGCGCUUUUGCGUCACUGAUGGAUGGACCCGCGGUGCAUUAGCUAGUUGGUGAGGUAACGGCUCACCAAGGCAACGAUGCAUAGCCGACCUGAGAGGGUGAUCGGCCACAUUGGGACUGAGACACGGCCCAAACUCCUACGGGAGGCAGCAGUAGGGAAUCUUCGGCAAUGGACGAAAGUCUGACCGAGCAACGCCGCGUGAGUGAAGAAGGUUUUCGGAUCGUAAAACUCUGUUGUUAGAGAAGAACAAGGAUGAGAGUAAAAUGUUCAUCCCUUGACGGUAUCUAACCAGAAAGCCACGGCUAACUACGUGCCAGCAGCCGCGGUAAUACGUAGGUGGCAAGCGUUGUCCGGAUUUAUUGGGCGUAAAGCGAGCGCAGGCGGUUUCUUAAGUCUGAUGUGAAAGCCCCCGGCUCACCCGGGGAGGGUCAUUGGAAACUGGAGAACUUGAGUGCACAAGAGGAGAGUGGAAUUCCACGUGUAGCGGUGAAAUGCGUAGAUAUAUGGAGGAACACCAGUGGCGAAGGCGGCUCUCUGGUCUGUAACUGACGCUGAGGCUCGAAAGCGUGGGGAGCAAACAGGAU